UGGGGAAUUUUGGACAAUGGGCGAAAGCCUGAUCCAGCAAUGCCGCGUGUGUGAAGAAGGCCUUCGGGUUGUAAAGCACUUUUGUCCGGAAAGAAAUCCUUGGCUCUAAUACAGUCGGGGGAUGACGGUACCGGAAGAAUAAGCACCGGCUAACUACGUGCCAGCAGCCGCGGUAAUACGUAGGGUGCAAGCGUUAAUCGGAAUUACUGGGCGUAAAGCGUGCGCAGGCGGUUUGCUAAGACCGAUGUGAAAUCCCCGGGCUCAACCUGGGAACUGCAUUGGUGACUGGCAGGCUAGAGUAUGGCAGAGGGGGGUUAGAAUUCCACGUGUAGCAGUGAAAUGCGUAGAGAUGUGGAGGAAUACCGAUGGCGAAGGCAGCCCCCUGGGCCAAUACUGACGCUCAUGCACGAAAGCGUGGGGAGCAAACAGGAUUAGAUACCCUGGUAGUCCACGCCCUAAACGAUGUCAACUAGUUGUUGGGGAUUCAUUUCCUUAGUAACGUAGCUAACGCGUGAAGUUGACCGCCUGGGGGG
This 533-nucleotide ribosomal RNA is filed under the name uncultured bacterium. RNAcentral's name for it is "partial 16S ribosomal RNA". It matches the Rfam family "Bacterial small subunit ribosomal RNA", at positions 355 to 880 of the family's 1533-position model. The record is from RNAcentral.